UUAGGUUUUUUCCCCAAAACCUUCUCUCGUCCUCCUCUCCCAUCCUUCUCCCUCCCCCUUCACCUCCGACCUUCGCCCACCACCAAGCACUUCCACCACCGAACAGACCGCCACCCACGGCGCAACGACGCUCACCCACGGCACCAACUCGAAAUUCGGAGACGCCACCCAGCCACCACCGACGACGCCCACUAAGUUGGAGAAGAGACAUGGUUUGUUGCCGCAGACACAGAGUUAUUAUCAAUGAUAAUAAGGAGAAUGAAAAUGAGAAACACUUGAAGUUGCAUUGAGAAACUCUCGGAUUGUAACUUUUUGGUUGUUUGUACAUGAUGAAAAAAAGCAAAUUAUAUACCUCUCUUCAAGCUGAUUUUAUGUAAUACUUGAAAUUAUAAAGUUGAAUGUUUAUUGUC
Corylus avellana is the source of this 410-nucleotide non-coding RNA. The record is from RefSeq and is a predicted model, not a curated record. NCBI's taxonomy places the organism in Eukaryota, Viridiplantae, Streptophyta, Magnoliopsida, Fagales, Betulaceae.